Molecule: ribosomal RNA, 200 nt
Filed under: uncultured bacterium
Lineage: Bacteria
Description: partial 16S ribosomal RNA
Rfam family: Bacterial small subunit ribosomal RNA
Source: RNAcentral
AGAGUUUGAUCCUGGCUCAGAAUCAACGCUGGCGGCGUGCCUAAUACAUGCAAGUCGAACGCGAAAGUCCCGCAAGGGAUCAGUAGAGUGGCAAACGGGUGAGUAACGCGUGGGUGACCUGCCUUCGAGUGGGGGAUAACGUCCCGAAAGGGGCGCUAAUACCGCAUGACAUCCUGCCUUUGAAGAGGCGGAGAUCAAAG